CCAUAGAUGUUCUGGGCCGCACGCGCGCUACACUGACGGAGCCAGCGAGUACUUCCUUGGCCGAAAGGCGUGGGUAUUCUCGUUAAACUCCGUCGUGCUGGGGAUAGAGCAUUGCAAUUAUUGCUCUUCAACGAGGAAUCCCUAGUAAGCGCAAGUCAUCAGCUUGCGUUGAUUACGUCUCUGCCCUUUGUACACACCGCCCGUCGCUACUACCGAUUGAAUGGCUCAGUGAGGCGUCCGGACUGGCCCACGGAGGUGGGCAACUACCACCCAGGGCCAGAAAGCUCUCCAAACUCGGUCAUUUAGAGGAAGUAAAAGUCGUAACAAGGUCGCCGUAGGUGAACCUGCGGAGA
RNAcentral lists this ribosomal RNA (353 nucleotides) under Verticillium albo-atrum. RNAcentral describes it as "SSU rRNA". It matches the Rfam family "Eukaryotic small subunit ribosomal RNA", at positions 1471 to 1823 of the family's 1831-position model. The record is from RNAcentral. Lineage: Eukaryota; Fungi; Ascomycota; Sordariomycetes; Glomerellales; Plectosphaerellaceae.